Molecule: ribosomal RNA, 253 nt
Filed under: uncultured bacterium
Lineage: Bacteria
Description: partial 16S ribosomal RNA
Rfam family: Bacterial small subunit ribosomal RNA
Source: RNAcentral
UACGAAGGGGGCUAGCGUUGUUCGGAAUUACUGGGCGUAAAGCGCACGUAGGCGGAUUGGUCAGUUGGGGGUGAAAUCCCAGGGCUCAACCCUGGAACUGCCUUCAAUACUGCCAGUCUAGAGAUCGAGAGAGGUGAGUGGAAUUCCGAGUGUAGAGGUGAAAUUCGUAGAUAUUAGGAAGAACACCAGUGGCGAAGGCGGCUCACUGGUCCGGUUCUGACGCUGAGGUGCGAAAGCGUGGGGAGCAAACAGG